Molecule: ribosomal RNA, 253 nt
Filed under: uncultured bacterium
Lineage: Bacteria
Description: partial 16S ribosomal RNA
Rfam family: Bacterial small subunit ribosomal RNA
Source: RNAcentral
UACGAAGGAUCCUAGCGUUGUCCGGAUUUACUGGGUUUAAAGGGUGCGUAGGCGGCCUUUUAAGUCAGUGGUGAAAGCCUGCAGCUUAACUGUAGAAUUGCCAUUGAAACUGAUUGUCUCGAGUGCGGUUGAGGUCACUGGAAUAUAUCAUGUAGCGGUGAAAUGCUUAGAUAUGAUAUAGAACACCAAUUGCGAAGGCAGGUGACUAAGCCGUAACUGACGCUGAUGCACGAAAGUGUGGGGAUCAAACAGG